UGGGGAAUAUUGGACAAUGGGCGAAAGCCUGAUCCAGCAAUACCGCGUGAAUGAUGAAGGCCUUAGGGUUGUAAAGUUCUUUUAGUAGGGAAGAUAAUGACGGUACCUACAGAAAAAGCCCCGGCUAACUCCGUGCCAGCAGCCGCGGUAAGACGGAGGGGGCUAGCGUUGUUCGGAAUUACUGGGCGUAAAGAGCGCGUAGGCGGAUUAGUAAGUUGGGAGUGAAAUCCCGGGGCUUAACCUCGGAACUGCUUCCAAAACUGCUAGUCUAGAGUAUAGUAGGGGGUGAUGGAAUUUCUAGUGUAGAGGUGAAAUUCUUAGAUAUUAGAAGGAACACCGAUGGCGAAGGCAUUCACCUGGGCUAUAACUGACGCUGAUGCGCGAAAGCGUGGGGAGCAAA
Molecule: ribosomal RNA, 400 nt
Filed under: uncultured bacterium
Lineage: Bacteria
Description: bacterial SSU rRNA
Rfam family: Bacterial small subunit ribosomal RNA
Source: RNAcentral